Molecule: long non-coding RNA, 563 nt
Organism: Gadus chalcogrammus (walleye pollock)
Lineage: Eukaryota; Metazoa; Chordata; Actinopteri; Gadiformes; Gadidae
Exons: 4
Source: RefSeq, a predicted model, not a curated record
GGGAUUCACCACGGAGCUCAACCAAACGGAGCGGACGCGGCAAGGCCAGAGGGAGACGUGGAGGCCGUGCGGGCCAUACAGGCCGUGCAGACCGAUGGAGUGGCCUAACUACAGGCAUGGACACUGAGGUGUUGGCACUUCCUUCAGAGGAUUCCUUGCCCUUACCCAGAGCACAGCAAAAUCCUCAAGAGAUGUUUGAACAAAACAUGGAGAGGCUUUCUGCCCUACUGGAUUCAAGCCCCUGUCCUGCUGAGCCUGAGAGAAGCGCAGCAUCAUCGUGGUCUGUUAGGCAGCAGAAAGCCUCUGACCGUUGGGAGGAAGCACGGCCGUACCACCUCAGAUGCCUUUUGGAAUCUGAGGCUGUUGGCAAGCCAUUGUGUUGCUUCUGCCACAAGCCGGCUGUUAUAAGGUGCAGAGAGUGCCUUCCGGAGCAGUGGUUUUGUGGGGCCUGCGACAUGCAUAACCACAGCAAACGGCCACUCCACAACAGGGACAGCGUGGUGGAUGGCUUCUUUAAAGCCAUUCCCCCAUCCACAUGUAUCUCAAGAGGAGAGACUGGAAUA